GCUUCGCGACUGCGGAAGGUUGCCCGGGCUGGCGCCGCUGGGCAGAGCCGGUGCGACGUUUCCCUUUCCAGCUUUGUUCUUCCGGCCCUGCUGUCUGCCUCCCCGGCUGAUUGGAUUCGUUACUGCUUUGCAACGCGCACCUAACUCCAGACGGGGUCUCACUCUGUCGCCCAGGCUGGAGUGCAGUGGCACAAUCUCAGCUUGCUGUGACCUCAGCUCUCUGCGACCUCUGCUUGCUGGACUCAAGCGAUCCUCCCACCACCUCAGCCUCCUGAGUAGCUGGAACCAUCAUAUGCACCAGCACGCCUGGCUAAGUAUUUUGUGUUUUCUUUUUUUUUAAUUUCUAGAGACAGGAUCUUGUUAUGUUGCCCAGGCUGGUCUCAAACUCUAGGACUCAAGUGAUCUGCCCCCCUUGGCCUCCCAAAGUGCUGGGAUUACAGGCAUGAGCCACCGUGCCUGGCCUUUUUUUUUCCCCAGCCUCAGCAACAUAGUGAGACCCGUUGUGGUGCAUGCCUGUAGUACCACCUACUUGGGAGGAGUAUUGCUUGAGUGUGGAAGGUUGAGGCUGCUAUGAGCAGUGAUCGCGCCACCACACUCCAACCUAGGCAACACAGAGAGCCCCUGUCUCAAAAAAAAAUUGUUUUAGGGACAGUGUCUCACUCUUGCCCAGACUGGUCUCAAACUCCUGGGGUCCAGUGAUCCUCCUGCCUCAGCCUCCCUUGUAGGUGGGACUACACGGCACCUGGCCCUUGUGUUGUUCUUGUAACAGUUGCUCAAUGCAGAAAACUUGGAAACCACAGAACAGCACCAGGGGGUGGGGAAUGAACAUGGAAUGAUGGGGACCUCUGUCCCAUUUAAGUCAAACAACAUCCAUACUUUGGUUCCAUGGACUAAUCAUUUAUUUGCACUCAUAAAAACUGGCUUGCUUUGAAAAGCUUCCUCCAAAAGCUGUAUUGUGGUACUUUUGACUCUGGGACAAGAGGAAGAAGUUGGGGAAUUCGGGCAGUUGGUGGCUGGGCCCUCAGAGACUGUAUGUGGUGACCACUGUUUAAGACACCAUUCAUCACUUGGGGACGGAGGGAGCACAUAGAUGGACCCCAGGCUCAUGGAUGUUCCUCCUUCCGCAGUCAUUUACUAAAAUACCUGUUCAAGGAAUAUAGUUCCAGUCUCAGCCUAGUUGAGACAACCACAGGCACUUAAAUAAGUACCAAGGAAGCCUCUGCAGAGAUAGUGCUAUUGGAACUGAGUCCUGAGGGCCAGAUCAGCCUUGACCAGGCCAAAAAAUGUGGAAGAGUAUUCCAAGCGGUAGGAAUAACACAUGCAAACACCUGAAAGCAAAGAGGAGCAGGUCACAUCCAGCAACUGGUGACUUGUUUACUAAGGCUGGAGAUGAACCUUGGAAGGAAGAAGGGAAGUCAAGAGGCCAGAUAAUUUGGCAGAGGCUAGAGGCUCUGUUCUACUGAGUUGUUUUCUCGUUUGUUUUGUUUUGUUUUUUGAGACAGAGUUUUGCUCUUGUCACCCAGGCUGGAAUGCAAUAGCGUGGUCUUGGCUCACUGCAACCUCCGCCUCCCGGGUUCAAGCAAUUCUCCUGCCUCAGCCUCCUAAGUAGCUGGGACUACAGCUUGAGGUCCUACCUGGUGUCCUCCAUGAGAAUCAUACAAGCCCCGCUACAGACAACAGAAUUGGAAGGUCCUGAGAGCUACCAGAAGCAUCUUCAGUUUUCAUAUGAAAAACUUAAGCCCAGGAGUGAUUUGUGCAGCCAAGGACACACAGCAAGUUAGUGGCUGCACCAGAAAUAGUACUCACUGCCUCAGACAGUCCCUCCCA
Homo sapiens (human) is the source of this 1827-nucleotide long non-coding RNA. Ensembl annotates it as ASB16 antisense RNA 1. Its record names the gene ASB16-AS1. The record is from Ensembl. NCBI's taxonomy places the organism in Eukaryota, Metazoa, Chordata, Mammalia, Primates, Hominidae.